UACGGAGGGAGCUAGCGUUGUUCGGAAUUACUGGGCGUAAAGCGCGCGUAGGCGGCUUUGUAAGUUAGAGGUGAAAGCCCGGGGCUCAACUCCGGAACUGCCUUUAAGACUGCAUCGCUUGAAUCCAGGAGAGGUGAGUGGAAUUCCGAGUGUAGAGGUGAAAUUCGUAGAUAUUCGGAAGAACACCAGUGGCGAAGGCGGCUCACUGGACUAGUAUUGACGCUGAGGUGCGAAAGCGUGGGGAGCAAACAGG
RNAcentral lists this ribosomal RNA (253 nucleotides) under uncultured bacterium. RNAcentral's name for it is "partial 16S ribosomal RNA". It matches the Rfam family "Bacterial small subunit ribosomal RNA", at positions 524 to 776 of the family's 1533-position model. The record is from RNAcentral.